AGGGAUAUAACACAGUUGGUAGAGUGCUUGCCUGGCAUGCACAAGACCCUGGGUUCAAUUCCCAGCAUCACAA
RNAcentral lists this transfer RNA (73 nucleotides) under Ictidomys tridecemlineatus (thirteen-lined ground squirrel). RNAcentral describes it as "Spermophilus tridecemlineatus (thirteen-lined ground squirrel) tRNA". It matches the Rfam family "tRNA". Rfam says of the family: Transfer RNA (tRNA) molecules are approximately 80 nucleotides in length. Their secondary structure includes four short double-helical elements and three loops (D, anti-codon, and T loops). The record is from Rfam by way of RNAcentral. Lineage: Eukaryota; Metazoa; Chordata; Mammalia; Rodentia; Sciuridae.